Molecule: ribosomal RNA, 483 nt
Filed under: uncultured bacterium
Lineage: Bacteria
Description: partial 16S ribosomal RNA
Rfam family: Bacterial small subunit ribosomal RNA
Source: RNAcentral
AUUGAACGCUGGCGGCAGGCCUAACACAUGCAAGUCGAGCGGAUGAAGGGAGCUUGCUCCUGGAUUCAGCGGCGGACGGGUGAGUAAUGCCUAGGAAUCUGCCUGGUAGUGGGGGAUAACGUCCGGAAACGGGCGCUAAUACCGCAUACGUCCUGAGGGAGAAAGUGGGGGAUCUUCGGACCUCACGCUAUCAGAUGAGCCUAGGUCGGAUUAGCUAGUUGGUGGGGUAAAGGCCUACCAAGGCGACGAUCCGUAACUGGUCUGAGAGGAUGAUCAGUCACACGUGAACUGAGACACGGUCCAGACUCCUACGGGAGGCAGCAGUGGGGAAUAUUGGACAAUGGGCGAAAGCCUGAUCCAGCCAUGCCGCGUGUGUGAAGAAGGUCUUCGGAUUGUAAAGCACUUUAAGUCGGGAGGAAGGGCAGUAAGUUAAUACCUUGCUGUUUUGGCGUUACCAACAGAAUAAGCACCGGCUAACUUCGG